GAGAAUCUUGCUUUGGGUUUUUCUGAUGGUAAUGAGAAUGAUCGUCAUUGUGGGCAAGGGUCAAGGCAAAAUUGUUUACUGCUUCCACCAGUAAAUUAUAGGAUUCCUCUUCGGUGGCCUACUGGAAAGGAUGUCAUCUGGGUUUCCAAUGUUAAAAUUACUGCACAGGAGGUACUUUCCUCUGGUAGUCUGACCAAGAGGAUGAUGAUGUUGGACGAAGAGCAGAUUUCCUUUCGUUCAUCCUCUAUGUUUGAUGGUGUUGAAGACUACGCACAUCAAAUUGCUGAAAUGAUUGGACUGAGAAAUGAAUCUAACUUCAUACAAGCUGGGGUAAGAACCAUUUUGGACAUAGGAUGCGGUUAUGGUAGNUGGAGCACAUCUAUUUCCAAAACAACUUUUAACUAUGUGCAUUGCAAACUAUGAAGCUUCAGGCAGUCAAGUUCAACUUACUCUUGAAAGAGGUCUUCCUGCAAUGAUUUUUUCUUUUUCUUCAAAGCAGCUGCCAUAUCCUUCUCUUUCCUUUGAUAUGUUGCACUGUGCACGAUGUGGCAUUGGUUGGGACCAAAAAGAUGGUAUUUUCUUGAUUGAAGUUGAUAGAGUUUUAAAGCCUGGUGGAUAUUUUGUCUGGACUUCACCUCUUACAAACGCUCGUAAUAAAGAGAAUCUGAAAAGGUGGAACUUUGUUCGAGAUUUUGCAGAAAAUAUCUGUUGGGAGAUGUUGUCUCAACAAGAUGAAACUGUCAUAUGGAAAAAGACUACUAAAAGGAAUUGCUAUGGUUCCAGGAAGCCUGGUUCAGGUCCUUCCAUCUGCAGUAGAGGCCAUGACGUUGAAUCUCCUUACUAUCGACCACUCCAAGCAUGCAUAGCAGGAACACAGAGUCGGCGAUGGAUUCCUAUAGAGGAGAGGAGAACCUGGCCUUCUAGGUCGCAAUUGAGCAAGAGCGAGCUUGCAAUACAUGGUUUGCAUUCAGAAGAAUUAGCGGAGGAAUCGGAAAACUGGAGAACAGCAGUCCAUAACUAUUGGUCACUUCUGUC
Molecule: unclassified non-coding RNA, 1035 nt
Filed under: Hevea brasiliensis (rubber tree)
Lineage: Eukaryota; Viridiplantae; Streptophyta; Magnoliopsida; Malpighiales; Euphorbiaceae
Source: RNAcentral